UACGUAGGGCGCAAGCGUUGUCCGGAAUUAUUGGGCGUAAAGAGCUCGUAGGCGGCCUGUUACGUCUGCUGUGAAAUCCCGGGGCUUAACCCCGGGCGUGCAGUGGAUACGGGCAGGCUGGAGUGCGGCAGGGGAGACUGGAAUUCCUGGUGUAGCGGUGGAAUGCGCAGAUAUCAGGAGGAACACCGGUGGCGAAGGCGGGUCUCUGGGCCGUUACUGACGCUGAGGAGCGAAAGCGUGGGGAGCGAACAGG
This 253-nucleotide ribosomal RNA is filed under the name uncultured bacterium. RNAcentral's name for it is "partial 16S ribosomal RNA". It matches the Rfam family "Bacterial small subunit ribosomal RNA", at positions 524 to 776 of the family's 1533-position model. The record is from RNAcentral.